RNAcentral lists this long non-coding RNA (1289 nucleotides) under Mus musculus (house mouse). RNAcentral describes it as "long non-coding RNA chr2:119576850-119578139". Lineage: Eukaryota; Metazoa; Chordata; Mammalia; Rodentia; Muridae. The record is from RNAcentral.
UGUGCCUACUCCAGUACCUGAUUGAACACACACACACACACACACACACACACACACACACACACACUCCUCCCCCACCUCUUAAAUUUUUAAAUAAAUGAAUGAAUGAAAUUAUUUAUUGUGUUGACUGGGCACGAUGCCGUAGGCCUUUAAUCCUAGCCCACAGGGUGAGGCAGGAGUUUCUGUGAAGCCAGCCUAGUCUACAUAGUGUGUUCCAGGACAGCCUGAGCUACAAACAAACGUUUAUUGUAAUAAUGACUGAUAGGCUUCAGCACCUUCAAAGUUCUAGUUUAUCUCUGGAUUCAAAAUGAACUGUAGUUCCUAAAAUGAGUUCUUGUUAACAUAGUGGGCUUGUGGCUGUUCUCUUUGGUUAUAAUGUGUUUUAUUGCCCCGGCUUAAUACAUUGUUUUAGGGCAGGGAGAGAAAAAGAUGGAAAUGAGAGCAGAAACUAACUGAUGGAGGUUGUUUGGGUUAGGAGAGGACCCAGUACCAAAGGAAUUAGGUCCAUGGGGUUCUUUUCAGAAGCUGUAGAUUGGGGCUGUUUUGAAGGACAUGAAGAUGGGAUGUGGAAGCAAGUGAAACCACUCUAUAUGGCAUUGCAGUAGUAAACACCAGGUAUGCAUUUGUCAAGACUCAGGGAAACCUGCAAGACGAUGACGUUUAACGUACACUGUGGACUUUGGUUAAUAACAAUGCACCAGAAGUCCUCUGCUCGUUUUACCCAGUGCUCCACACUUAGGAAUGUAGUGGUAGUGUUAGCAACGGGAUGGGGGAAGGUUUGGGCCACGUGGGAACUCUCACCUCUUAGUCUUUGAAAAGAAUCAACUAUGAUUGCUAAGCAUUUGUUGCUGCUGCUCCUCCUCCCUGUGCUGCUAGUCCUCCUCCUUCGUGGCGGUGUUGUAGAGCUUGCAUGUGAGUGUGUAGGUCCACAUCCUAAUAAGAAGGGGUUAUUCAUGACUCCAUCUUUCUCUGCCUUCUUGCCUUGAGGCAGGAUCCCUCCCUCAACUCAAAGCUUGCUCUGUGCAGUCAUCGCCCCAGUCCUUUUGCUUGUGCGUUUUAGUUUUUCAAGACAGGGUUUCUCUGUGUAGCCUUGGCUGCCCUGGAACACAACCCCUCUUUAAAAAAAUAAUCAUUUUUUAUUUCUCUGUGUGUGUGCUCAAAUGUACUAUGUGUGUGUGUACCAGAAGGUAUCAGAGCCCCUGGAAAUGGAGUUAACCAGUGGUUGUGAGCCUCCCAAUGGAAGAACAGUGAGUUCAAGGCCAGCCUGGGUUAUGUAAGACCCUAUCUGU